RNAcentral lists this ribosomal RNA (425 nucleotides) under uncultured bacterium. RNAcentral describes it as "partial 16S ribosomal RNA". It matches the Rfam family "Bacterial small subunit ribosomal RNA", at positions 354 to 796 of the family's 1533-position model. The record is from RNAcentral.
GUGGGGAAUAUUGGACAAUGGGCGCAAGCCUGAUCCAGCCAUGCCGCGUGAGUGAUGAAGGCCUUCGGGUUGUAAAGCUCUUUAGCCGAUGAUUAUAAUGACUGUAGUCGGAAAAUAAGCCCCGGCUAACUUCGUGCCAGCAGCCGCGGUAAUACGAAGGGGGCGAGCGUUAUUCGGAAUCACUGGGCGUAAAGCGUGCGUAGGCGGCUUUGCAAGUUGGGAGUGAAAGCCCAGGGCUCAACCCUGGAAUUGCUCUCAAAACUGCAAGGCUCGAAUUCGGGAGAGGAUAGCGGAAUUGUCAGUGUAGCAGUGAAAUGCGUAGAUAUUGACAGGAACACCAGUGGCGUAAGCGGCUAUCUGGACCGAUAUUGACGCUGAGGCACGAAAGCGUGGGGAUCAAACAGGAUUAGAAACCCUAGUAGUCC